UACGUAGGGUGCAAGCGUUAAUCGGAAUUACUGGGCGUAAAGCGUGCGCAGGCGGUUGUGCAAGACAGAUGUGAAAUCCCCGGGCUCAACCUGGGAAUUGCAUUUGUGACUGCACGGCUAGAGUGUGUCAGAGGGGGGUAGAAUUCCAUGUGUAGCAGUGAAAUGCGUAGAGAUGUGGAGGAAUACCGAUGGCGAAGGCAGCCCCCUGGGAUAACACUGACGCUCAUGCACGAAAGCGUGGGGAGCAAACAGG
This 253-nucleotide ribosomal RNA is filed under the name uncultured bacterium. RNAcentral's name for it is "partial 16S ribosomal RNA". It matches the Rfam family "Bacterial small subunit ribosomal RNA", at positions 524 to 776 of the family's 1533-position model. The record is from RNAcentral.